This is a long non-coding RNA of Falco peregrinus (peregrine falcon), 381 nucleotides long. RefSeq lists it as uncharacterized. The record is from RefSeq and is a predicted model, not a curated record. Lineage: Eukaryota; Metazoa; Chordata; Aves; Falconiformes; Falconidae. The transcript is spliced from 2 exons.
GGAAAGUGUGCACUAGACACGUGUAAGACCUCUGAAAUCCAAGAACACAUCUUGGCAACGCACAAACAGGUCUCCUGAGGAAACACAUGUUGGAGUGAUGGUUUGUUGUGAAGAUAAAGGAGGGGAUACAGAACGUGACGUUUAAGAAGAGAUGGAACUGAAGUUGAAGGAUUUUCAUUUGGAAAAUCCUGUGCUGCACUAGGAUCUCAUGUUCUUAUUCUGCUUUGUGGGCAAAAUAUCCUGCCAGACUACAUUUCCCAUCACACUUUUCAAAACAGAGCUGACCUCCUACCAUCUGUUUAACAAAACAGGCUUCUGUUCCCAGCUGGAGCUUUAUGAUACCUGUCGCUACAGAAAUAAUAAUAAACAAUAAUAACACAG